This 150-nucleotide unclassified non-coding RNA is filed under the name uncultured Capnodiales. RNAcentral's name for it is "sequence contains ITS2". Lineage: Eukaryota; Fungi; Ascomycota; Dothideomycetes; Capnodiales. The record is from RNAcentral.
CACCACUCAAGCCUCGCUUGGUCUUGGGCGCCGCGGUCCGCCGCGCGCCCCAAUGUCUCCGGCUGAGCCGUCCGUCUCUAAGCGUUGUGAACAACUGUUCGCUUGCGAGGCCGGGCCGGUUCAAUCGCCGUUAAACCCCCCAAUUUUUCA